UGGGAGGGGCCAGCGGCCCAUCAGCUAGUUGGUGGGGUAAGAGCCUACCAAGGCGAAGACGGGUAGGGGGCGUGAGAGCGUGACCCCCCACACUGGUACUGAGACACGGACCAGAUACCUACGGGUAGCAGCAGCAAGGAAUAUUGCCCAAUGGACGGAAGUCUGAGGCAGCAACGCCGCGUGGAGGACGAAGGCCUUCGGGUUGUAAACUUCUUUUCUGGGGGAAGAGAAAGGACGGUACCCCAGGAAUAAGUCUCGGCUAACUACGUGCCAGCAGCCGCGGUAAAACGUGGGAGACGAGCGUUAUCCGGAAUUACUGGGCGUAAAGCGCAUGCAGGCGGUCCUUUAAGUCGGAUGUGAAAGCGCCUGGCUCAACUAGGCGAGGACAUUCGAGACUGGAGGAGUAGAGGGUGGUAGAGGAGAGUGGAAUUCCCGGUGUAGUGGUGAAAUGCGUAGAUAUCGGGAGGAACACCAGUGGCGAAGGCGGCUCUCUGGGCCAACCCUGACGCUCAGAUGCGAAAGCUAGGGGAGAGAACGGGAUUAGAAACCCCGGUAUUCCUAGCCGUAAACGAUGUCAACUAGGCGUAGGAGGUUAUUGACCCCUUCUGUGCUGAAGCCAACGCGAUAAGUUGACCGCCUGGGGAGUACGGCCGCAAGGCUAAAACUCAAAGGAAUUGACGGGGGCCCGCACAAGCAGCGGAGCGUGUGGUUUAAUUCGAGGCUACGCGAAGAACCUUACCAGGGUUUGACAUGGUGGUGGUAGGGAAGCGAAAGCGGACCGACCCUUCGGGGAGCCAUUACAGGUGCUGCAUGGCUGUCGUCAGCUCGUGCCGUGAGGUGUUAGGUUAAGUCCUGUAACGAGCGCAACCCACGUCGUUAGUUACAAGUGUCUAACGAGACUGCC
Molecule: ribosomal RNA, 904 nt
Filed under: uncultured Acidobacteriota bacterium
Lineage: Bacteria; Pseudomonadati; Acidobacteriota
Description: bacterial SSU rRNA
Rfam family: Bacterial small subunit ribosomal RNA
Source: RNAcentral